RNAcentral lists this long non-coding RNA (1153 nucleotides) under Sarcophilus harrisii (Tasmanian devil). RNAcentral describes it as "lncRNA (ENSSHAG00000022986.1)". Lineage: Eukaryota; Metazoa; Chordata; Mammalia; Dasyuromorphia; Dasyuridae. The record is from RNAcentral.
GUUAGGGAGGGGAAAAAAAAGCCCCUUUGGAUCCACAGCUGGUAACCAGAUUGAACAAAAGGCAUCCUCUGGUCAGCAUUGUUCUUCCUGUUGUACAUGUGAAUUGUGCAGUGUGUGAGUCAAAUGUUUGAACACUGUAUGGGCUGACAGGAUGUUGGGUCGGGAUGCCAGCUACCAAUAGAGCAUCAGCAGAAACAAUCCAAUUUUCUAUGGAUUUGUUCUUUUUCUUUUUUUCCCCCUUUCUUUUUGGAUGUUUUGGAGAUACUAGAAAGUCCCAGCAAACUCCUGCUCCAGCCCCUUUUAAUCUUUGGACACAGCCUGUAAAAGGAGUAAUCUCAAAGGAAGCAUAGCAAACUCAGCUCAGGGAGCUACCAGAGAAAAUAGCAACUAAUGUAUGUUUUUUCUUUCUUUCUUCGUUUUUUUUUUUUUUUUUUUUUUUGUAUUUGAAUAAAAAUUAAGAAUUAGAAUGGAUGGUCUUUUUAACUGCAUCUUCUUAACCCUCUCCCAACCACUGUUUCCUCCAUUUCUCAAGGGGGGGGGGAGGGAAUUUAUUGGCUUCCGAGGGUACAUGUGAAAGGUCAGUAGGCUCCUAACAGUCAGUCACUUUGGUGACUGGCUUCAAUGGAUUGAAAUUGGAAACAGCCUGUCUUGGGUCUACUAUUGCCACUUUUUGUACCAAAAUGAGUUUUGAUUGUUUUUCAUUUUUGUUUUGAUUUUUUUUUUUUUUUUUAAGAAGAUGACGCUAAUGGCCAUGUGAGUCCUUGUGUAGAAGAUGGGCUCACCCAGUGAUGUAGCAUAUGGAAGAGAAUUUUUAUACGACAUUUUUAUGGAUUAUUUUUUAAUUUUUGAUUCAAUCUGGUCAAAAGGAACUAGGGGAUGGGGUAUGAUGAAAACUACCUGUCUUAAAAAUUAAAAGUUCUUUGUAGGGCAAAACAUUCUAUAUGUAAUUAAAAGGAUGAAGAGGUGGGUGUUAUGGACCUUUCUCUGUUGCUAUAAGGGGGAGCUGUACUUUUCUGCGCCUCUUUGUAUUCCAAAUGUUUAGCCAUUGCCUUUCCAUGGUGUUUGCCAUGAGGGAGGAAGAGGAUGGAAGGGACUUGACUCUUACAAAAAAAAAAAAAAUAAGAAAAGAAAAAUGAGAAGUAAUUGUAAUGAG